UUCACCUUGGUGCAAAUCCAAGUGAAAGUA
This 30-nucleotide transfer RNA is filed under the name Lagonosticta sanguinodorsalis. Its description in RNAcentral is "partial tRNA-Leu". The record is from RNAcentral. Lineage: Eukaryota; Metazoa; Chordata; Aves; Passeriformes; Estrildidae.